This 76-nucleotide transfer RNA is filed under the name Desulfobacterales bacterium. RNAcentral's name for it is "tRNA-Thr". It matches the Rfam family "tRNA". From Rfam's summary of the family: Transfer RNA (tRNA) molecules are approximately 80 nucleotides in length. Their secondary structure includes four short double-helical elements and three loops (D, anti-codon, and T loops). The record is from RNAcentral. Lineage: Bacteria; Pseudomonadati; Thermodesulfobacteriota; Desulfobacteria; Desulfobacterales.
GCCGACGUAGCUCAGCAGGUAGAGCAGCUCACUCGUAAUGAGCAGGUCAGCGGUUCGACUCCGCUCGUCGGCUCCA